UGGGCAACCUGCCCCUCUCUCUGGGAUAACCCCGGGAAACCGGAGCUAAUACCGGAUACUCCGGCUGGAUCGCAUGGUCCGGCCGGGAAAGGUCCGCCGGAGAGGGAUGGGCCCGCGGCCUAUCAGCUUGUUGGUGGGGUAACGGCCUACCAAGGCGACGACGGGUAGCCGGCCUGAGAGGGUGACCGGCCACACUGGGACUGAGACACGGCCCAGACUCCUACGGGAGGCA
RNAcentral lists this ribosomal RNA (232 nucleotides) under uncultured bacterium. RNAcentral's name for it is "partial 16S ribosomal RNA". It matches the Rfam family "Bacterial small subunit ribosomal RNA", at positions 118 to 350 of the family's 1533-position model. The record is from RNAcentral.